GAGUUGAUCUCCUUUGGAAUACUCUGUAAUGAUUGUUGCCAAGUCUUUGUGAGUUUGUGCAUAAUCGUUACAAGAGGAUCAAUGCAUAUAAGUUUAGAAUCUAACAGAUUUCAGUAAAUGGCAUGAAUUUGGAAUUCUUGCAUUUGCAGUAAGGAUUUGGGAGUGUGAAAAGAGAAUCAUUGAAGUUAUGUUCAAUUGAUCUAGUUCACAAAGUAAAGAUCAUAGACAAACAUAGUAUGCAUACUUGGUGUGUGGCAUGACUAGUGUUUAAAAAAACAUAGUGUACAUGCUUGGAGCAUGGGACAACUAUUGUUUUAAAUUCAAGAAUAAAGUUGAUAGCUGAAACAGUAUACAAUGAAUAAUGUGUAAUCAUAUGGUGAUAAAUAAAAGGUGUUUUAUUUAUGUUCAAAGGGUUGAUACCAUAUUAGAUUCAAUUAUUAUUGUGUUUCACUUUGCAUGUUUUGACUUCCCGAAUAAACUGGGUUAUUCUUCCGGAAUGACUAAGUUAUUCAAACCAUCCACAGUCGGUCAUAUGUUGGAAGUAGAUAUGAAUUAAGACUGUCAUGGGUUGGCUUGUAGAGGUCUAAGGUGUUGGACAAAGGGCUACAACACUCAUGAGUGCUCAUAAGUUCUGAGUAUUGGAUUCAACCCGCGCUCAUUGGAAUCACUUCAUGGAUUUUAUCACGAGUGAUCAUGAGACGAUAAUAUCUUAUAUUCUUCAAACCUAGAGAUAUGAGUUGUUACUAUGAGUUGAUAGUACAUUGAUUGCACGAAAACGCAUUUGGUAACUCGGUGCUAUAAAACGUGCCUUUGUGUAUGAUUCAACAAGUAGUAGAACAAGCCAUAUGAGUCGAAGUUUAUCCAUUCCUUUUACCUUCGGGAUAAAAGCGAUAUCUGUGGGCCCCUCGAUGAUUUGAUGAUGACAAAUGGAAGUGCUCGGCCGGGCCAGGACUGAUUUGAUUUGUUCAAUUAGUCAGUCGUCAUAAAUCGGAAAUCGGGAAACAACAAAUGGACAGAGAGAAUGAUUAUAAUCCAUGUCUCAGUCCAUAUGAUAUCUAGAAUGGAGGAAUAUAUGAUCCCUUAUCUAAUGGACAAGUCAUUGACAAAGGUCAGAGUUCAUCUACAAGGUCAGAGUUCGACAGAAGCUUUUGAGAGCUACGAUUGCCAGUUGGUUCCUGAAGUCAUACGCAAUAAUAGUUUUAGACUUAUCCAAGUGGGAGACUGUUGGAUUAAUGUCUAAGUCCAUAACUAUAAUUGGUAAGACUUGACCCGACCCGGCAUGGUCCAUUUGGGUUGCAUACCAUCAUGCACUUGGAUAGACUAUAAUGAGAGAAAUAAGACACUUAUGGUUAUUAAUAUAUUAUAAGUUCUAGUAUAUUAAUAAUAAGAAUAAUAAGAUUAUUUAAUUAGUAUUGAUCAAGAAUUAAUCUAGGAUUAAUUAAGUGAUCAAAAGAAGACUAAUUAAAUAUAUGGGUUGAUUGUGUAAAUCAUCCAUACUUGUAUAGUGGGCUAAUGCUCCAUGGAUAAUCAAGUUGGGCUAAAACCCAUAGGAUGGUCCAUGGAUGCUCCAUGGUGUAUUUGUACCCAUGGAUCCAAGGAAAUGGAAAGCCAUGACAAUUAAGAGUUUACCCUAAUUGUGUAACUAUAUAAGCAUCUUAUUAUUGAGGAAAAAUCGGCCACUAGUAGUAUUCAAGAAAGGGCUAGCCGAUUUUGGUGAGUGUAGAAUUCUCUCAAGUCAUUCUAAGUGUUUUGAUGAUUGUGAUUCCAUUUGAGGUGUCACACUUGGGGCACUAAGCACUCAAGCUUCAUGAAGACUUUCUACAUCAAGAGGUAUGUAUUCUAUCUUGUUACAUUAUUGUUUUGUAUGCUAGAUUAGGAUAAUACCUUGGAAGUUCUUAUUUGCAUGUAUAAUAGAGAAAACAUAGAUCCAAGGUAUUUAGGGUUGCAUGUACACUUAGGAGUGUUAGAAUGCUCAAAACCCAACAGUGGUAUCAGAGCCUAGGCUUGUUUUCUUGUUAUACCUGCAAUAGAAGCUGAAAAAACGAAUCUGGUGCUGUCUGGCCAUCAGACUCGGCGAGUCCAUCAGGAGACUCGACGAGUCCAUGCCUAAAAAGUGAUGAAUUCGAUCCAACUCGCCGAGUUUGUUCAUGCACUCGACGAGUUGGACCCCCAGACAGCAUAUUUUCGAGUUUUUUGGCUAGAAAUGGACUAGGAACAUUACCCUAAGUUGUUUUUGAACUUAUAAACUUGUUUUUGAUGUGGUAAUGUUCAUGCUAAUCCAUUUUCAAAGAUAAUUGUCAAUAGAUUCAUGUUUUGUAUUAGUUUAAGGUUUAGACUAAUUACAUGAAAAAGUUUGAUUUGAAUUAUCUUGUUCUUAUGAGUUGCUUAGAUUAAUAGAAAUGUUGAGUGAAAUAGUUGUUUUCAAUCCAUUUUAAUCUAAGAGUUGAGUAUAAAAUGUGUUUGUGUAACUUGUCCUCAAGUUACAUGAAGAGUCACAUUAAAGACUCAUAAAACUCAUAAGAGUUGGCAAUGGUUACAAAAUGAAGAGUCUUGUGUCAUUGAAUAAUUUUUUUUGACUCCAUAACUUGUCCUCAAGUUAUGGAAGUUCAAGAGUCACUUCAUUAAAGAAAAAUAUGUAACCAUAAUUAAAUCCAUAAGUUAUAAAAUAAAGAAAAAGUUAGUUCUUUUAUUAGUUUAAAGUCUUCCAUAACUUGUCCUCAAGUUAUGGAACUUGAAGAGUUUUUGGAUUAAAACUACUUUAAACACAUAAGUUAUGGAAUUAAUUAGUUUUGAAUAGUUUCAAAACUUGCCCUCAAGUUUUGGAAUUUGAAAAGUUUUCAAGUAUGAAUACUUUAAUUCCAAGUUAGCCCUUAGAAUUUUAAAAGUUAAAAUUCAACCCUUAUACUUUAUAAUAUUAUAAGUUAAUAAUAUAUAUAUGUAUAAGAGUAAAGUCAGUCUUACCGCUAGUACGCCUCAUUCACGAAGCCGGUCUAUAAGGUGGGUAUAAGGUUGUUGCCUAUAAAAUGGCAACUUAAUGGGUGUCCACUCUCACCCACCGCUUGCUUGACUGGUGGAGGGUCGUUAGCCGAACGGGUUUGACAGGACUAGAAUUCUCCCUUCAUUAAAAGUAUUAAUGAUAAUACUAAGUAACUAAACUCUUAAUAAUACCCAAUCUUAGUUACUUAGGAAAAAUGUGAAUAAGGUGCUAAUCCAUGAAAUUACACUUUACACUUUGUCUAAGUCGUUAGUGGAGCGUGUGUGGUUAACCGGCACACUAACUUGGACUUAACAAGGUAGGUAAAGGGUGACUUAAUAUUUAUCAUAGUAUCGAUGGAGCGUGUGUGGUUAACCGGCACAUCGAUUGAGGGGUAAUUUAUUAAGGGUACCAAGUGAUUUGCAUGGUUACUUCACACCUUGUUUUGUGAUCCUCGGCAUCCCAGUCACAAAACCUGAAGGGCACACUCGAGAUUGAAACAUGCCUUUGAAAAGUUCAAUGAAUCUCAAAGAUCUAGGAGUUUCAAAACCAAUUAAAACCUAAUAAUACAUUUCGUUUAUCUUGGUGGAAAUUGGUGAAUCGUCAUUCACCUACCUUCAAAUAUUUUAUAGCUUGGAUUACGGCAUACCUCUUCUAAGUUAUAAAAUAGUUUGUUGGGUCCUAGCCUUAAUAUUUCAUAUUGGGUGUCAUAUUAAGGACUUUAAAUCAACUAUCUUGAAUAUCUCCCAAAAGAUGUCUGGUUUAGACACCUAUGAUCUUCCCAAAUCUCUUGAAACAAGGUUUCCUAAUGAAGAUGAUGUCCCAUGGAUAUCAUACUUCUUCACCUCUUCAAAUUAUUCUCCCUAACCCACAAGUUCUUGAAAAGUUUAAGGUCACUCAGGCCCUAUUGGCAAGGCAAGGUCUAGGUGUGGUCACAUCUUGGAGAUGUAGUCACAUAUUGACAAGCCGGGAGAGUUGGGUGUCAAAGUCUUGAGAAAGUUGGUGGUUCAACCACUUUCUAAGUCACAUAGUGAGUUCCUUUGGGACACCUAUGAAACAGACUAUGACAAGACCCUUAAUGAUCUUAUCUAUUUGCUAAGAUCAACUUCCUAAAACUUUAUGGACAUUGACAAUGAUGACAUUGGAUAUCCAGUAAAGCAUUCUCUUCCCAAUGGAAAGGGAUCGGCCAUAGUCAACUCGGUUGACCAAAUGGUAAAGAGAAAAGCUAAGUCUGUGAUAGUCCCGUGUACCAUUAUCAAAGGGUCCAUAUGUUUAUAUUGCCAAAGGAAGGGGCAUUGGUUGCGAAGCUGCCAAAUUUACCUAAGGAUGUUAAAGUCAAUAAGUUUGACUCUACUUCAGGUAAAGUCCACUAUCUAACUCUGUUAAGUUUCUAUUCUGAGAUUCUUGAUACAUGAUGUGACUGGGUCACAUGGUGAUGUUUUAAGAAUCAAAGAAAAGUGAAGAAACUUAAAGAAAGAAUAUGCUGAAUCUGAUGGCGUAGAUGGAUUUCUAUCGCAUAGUUUGAAGAUCGGAUUCUUGAGCUACUUCUUAGGAGUUAUGAGAUAUUGCUUAGGAAUAGAUAACAACAAGUUUUCAUAUGGAUUGUAAGGAUAAGUUUUUCCGCAAAGUUUUAAAAUAAAAGAAAAUUUUUUAUAUUUUAUUUAUUUUAAAAUAUCCUUACAAUGGCAUUUGAGGAAAAAUUGUUGCUUAUAUGAUUCCAUUAAGAGCAAGAGUGGAAAUAUGAAAUUGAUUCUUUCAUUUGUGGUAAUGUCUAAAUUUACCAAAUAAGGAAAGAUUCUCAUCACCCAAGUUUCAAUUGGACCGGAACUUGGAAUCAUGCAAGUUGUAUAGCAUGAUGAAUGAGAACUUUCAAGUUUUGGAAAAUUAAGACUAAUUACUUGUUCACAUGGAUGUGUGAGUCAAGUAAAGGACUUAGGGAUCGAGUACACAUUCUUGUGCACUGAUUAAGUCCACCACUAAAGAUCGAUAAGAAGAAUCAAAUAAGGCAGAAGGAUAAAAGUUUCUCAAAUCUGAAAAGAUGGGAGAGUACUUUAGUAUCAGUUUUGUGAUCAUCUUAAUGAUUAAGAAACCAUAUCAAAAUUAGUUCUCUAAGGAAAUCUUAGUGCAUUCUUAUGACUAAGAAGAGGAACUUGAAUUGUUGAAAUGGUUAAAUCAAGAAGAUGAGUCAUACUUCGUUCCAAUACAAGUCUUAGAGUCAUACUCCAAGAUUGUCAUUUGAGUGACAUGUCUUAAAGAAGGUUUAAAACACUUGUCAAAUGUAAGAGUAAAAGUUUUCUACUCUUGUACAUUUGAAAUUGGUAAGUUGUGAUGUUUUGGAUAAAACAAAGACCAACUUAGGCCAAUUGGGUAAAGUGUUUUUCUUGAUUAGAAUCCGCACUAUCUCUUGGAUGUUUGACAAGGGAGUCUUAUAUGUCAAGAGGACAGUGGGAGUCUUAAAGGUCUUGAAAGUCUCAAGAAAUAAUCAAGAAUAAAACCUAAAGUUCUUCACUAGCACACGACUUGAGGUUUAUAACCUAUCGUGUUGACAUAUCUGUGCCCAUUCCAGUUAAAGUUGGCUUUGCAUAUGAGUUCUUAGAGUUCUCAGUUUGUUGCAUAACAACUUGGAAGCAAUGGCAGGCCCUUGAGCUGCCAGGUGGCAAGAAGUUAAGAUUGAGUUCAAUCCAUAUGGUUUUGGAUUUGUCAUUAUCUUUGUCUUGUGAUUAUGGUUUGACAAAUUCAUAUGGGUAGGAACUCAUACACCAUAUAAAUCUAAGUGUCAUAAGGUUUCUCUCCGAUUCAUGAAAAUGAUGGUGAGGAAACGCUUUCACUAAGUAGAUUUUACGAAGAUAUCAAUUGUGUUAUUUGCAUUUUCAAAAGUCGUUAGUGGAGCGCGUGUGGUUAACCGGCACACUAACAUGGACUUGUGAGAAAUGGCAAAUGCCUAAGCAAUUGAGACCAUGAUUACGGUAUCCCUUUUCAUGGUUCUUGAAAUUGCUUAGACACACAGGUGAGCUAUCUACGGAAAGGGUGUAUGAAUCUAAAUUUCAGACUGUCCAGCUGAUUUCUGAGUACAUGUCAAAGCUAGUGGGAGCAUAAGUGUUAUGCUAAUAAUCAUCAUGUUAGUGGGAGCAUGAUAAUUAUGAUAAGUAUUGCAAGUUAGCAAUGUUAAUUAUAGAAAACAAAAGUUUCAAUUGGGAAAAAGUUGUUUUGCUAUAAUUAAGGGAGAGGAAAUUAUGCUUCAUCUCAAAUCUAUAAGCUUAGAUCGUGAGGUUUUAAUCAUUUAGUCAAGGAUAUAUAUGAAUUUCAUGUUGGAAUGGCUCAACAUAAGGAAAUUCUGUAUAUGGGUCCAUUAUUUGCGUUCUAAAAUUCGAUUAUGAUUACGGCAUCCCUUUUCAUAAUCUGAAUUAUGAGAACUUGGCAAAUUGAAAUGGAAAUAUUAUAGCAAAAGACUGGUUUAGUCUUUAUGUAAGACAUCAUGAAUCGUGUCCCAUAUGCUUCGGAUAUAGGAUCGAUUACAUGUGCUAUAUUCAUCCGUUCUAAAAUUUUCCAAAUGCCUGGGGCAUUAAGAAGGGAAAAGGUUUAGAACUGGAUAUGACUAAAAGGAUUAAACAAUUGUCGAGGACAAUCUAAGGUUUACCAAAGAUUGGUUACUCAAGGACAAUUGGAAGUAUAGUGAUAAUUCUGGAAGGACCAUAUUGACAUAAUCUGUAAGGAGGCAACUCUUGUUCAGAAGUGAUAGUCAAAAUGGAAUCUGGAAAUGUUUCAAAGUUAGAAUUUUCAAUCUGUGUAAGAUUAAGGAAACUUAAUGCAAGAAGGAUAUUUCCAAGGAGUUGAUCUCCUUUGGAAUACUCUGUAAUGAUUGUUGCCAAGUCUUUGUGACUUUGUGCAUAAUCAUUACAAGAGGAUCAAUGCAUAUAAGUUUAGAAUCUAACAGAUUUCAGUAAAUGGCAUGAAUUUGGAAUUCUUGCAUUUGCAGUAAGGAUUUGGGAGUGUGAAAAGAGAAUCAUUGAAGUUAUGUUCAAUUGAUCUAGUUCACAAAGUAAAGAUCAUAGACAAACAUAGUAUGCAUACUUGGUGUAUGGCAUGACUAGUGUUUAGAAAACAUAGUGUACAUGCUUGGAGCAUGGGACAACUAUUGUUUUAAAUUCAAGAAUAAAGUUGAUAGCUGAAACAGUAUACAAUGAAUAAUGUGUAAUCAUAUGGUGAUAAAUAAAAGGUGUUUUAUUUAUGUUCAUAGGUUUUGAUACCAUAUUGGAUUCAAUUACUCUUGUGUUUCAUUUUGCAUGUUUUGACUUCCAGAAUAAACUAGGUUAUUCUUCCGGAAUGACUAAGUUAAUCAAACCAUCCACAGUCGGUCAUAUGUUGGAAGUAGAUAUGAAUUAAGACUGUCAUGGGUUGGCUUGUAGAGGUCUAAGGUGUUGGACAAAGGGCUACAACACUCAUGAGUGCUCAUAAGUUCUGAGUAUUGGAUUCAACCCGCGCUCAUUGGAAUCACUUCAUGGAUUUUAUCACGAGUGAUCAUGAGACGAUAAUAUCUUAUAUUCUUCAAACCUAGAGAUAUGAGUUGUUACUAUGAGUUGAUAGUACAUUGAUUGCACGAAA
This 7576-nucleotide long non-coding RNA is filed under the name Lactuca sativa (garden lettuce). RNAcentral's name for it is "long non-coding RNA (LSAT_LNC009045)". Lineage: Eukaryota; Viridiplantae; Streptophyta; Magnoliopsida; Asterales; Asteraceae. The record is from RNAcentral.